AAACAGUACCAAAAACCAAGAGACCUCUUAAUUAGUAAUACCCUGGAAUUUAAACUCUGGGGAAUCAAACUCAUUUGUGAUUUUAAUACAGAACUUCUUUAAUAUGAUUCAACACGGUGGCCUAACUGUAGGCAUGGCUGAAUAACCACUACUGUAGAUGUUCUAGUGAUCUUAGAGCCCUCCUCUAAAGAGAACAGAUGUUUGAACUAGAUAGCUCACUAUCAGUCCUUUCCACACCCUGAGGAUUCUGAGUCUAUGAUGUUGUAUAACAAAUGUCUGAGACUCUAUUCUAACAUAAGUCUGAAUACAGAUGUGUGAGGCAAAACAGGCUUAAGUUACAAGAACUGUAAAAAAUUGGCUUAUUUUGAAUCUAAUAUACCGUUUACUUAUGUACAAGAAACAGUGACACUUGUUGUUGUUUUGUUUUUCAUUCCAGGGUGGUGAUUCCAAAGGAGAAAAUUUGUGUGUAUAUCAGAAGUUUGGUAUUGGAUUUGAUAUGAUGAUGAUUUUUCAGUUCAACUCCUGCUAAGGACAAUGGGCUAGAUUCUAUGCUGUGCCUCCCAGAACCCUGGUAGUGCACACCACUAUGGGCAUUUCUCCUCCACCCUAGAUGAGUAUCCCGGCCCGCAUACAAAAUGGACCUGUCAGCCAAAGAAACCAACUGCAAAACCUCAGUCACCCUUUACAUUUCUUCCUGCAACUCGCUGACAUUCAGGCAUAAAACCUUCCAAGGAGUUAGGACGUCUGAUGCGUUCCAUUAAAACUCCCCAGUAGAGCUCUUCCAGUGUCCUGCCCCAAGCCACAUGCCCUAUGCCAGGGAUUGUAGUGGGGGUGGGGUUGUGUAUGGACAGCCCCAAACUAGUCUUGUGAUGAAGCAGUUCUCCCCUGGCCCCUUGUGGCUCCUGUAUGGUCCCUAAACACCAGUGGAGAUUAUAGGGGCGAGAGCAGAGGCAAAGUUGGCCCCACUGGAAAGAACCCUAUUAACGUUAGUGGGAGUUGGUCUGAGCCUUUGUUUCUGUGCUUUUGAUUUACAGGAAGUGAUGUUCCUUUGCUCAUUAUUACUCACAGAUUUUAAUAUAGAAUAGGACAAAAUUCGAAUAACCCGUUUCUGCUACCAGCAGAAUCUCCAUGAUCUCUUGGGGAGUCUAUUGAAUGAUCAAGUCAAAUAUAUAAUUUUCUUAUCCUUUGUACAUAUUCCGCUAAAUCUCAGAUAUUUGUUUACUAAAUAUCAUCUUUGACCAGAUAACACUAAUUCUUCAUUCUACAUUAGAUUAAACAUUAAAUAUUCCAAUCAUUGAGCUUAGCUGAGAGCAAAGUAUUGGGGGAAAAGACUGUUUAAAUAAAGUGUAAAAAAAAAAUUACUGUUUUUUCUUUAAAUUUUAUCUGUUAUAGAAAUAUUCCUACACCCCUGUGAAAUUGAAGUAUAUUUAAUAUAUUUGUAAUUUACACAUGUUUUAUAUGUGCAUUUUUAUAACUGCUUCAUAUUUGGCCCUUUUGUUUAUAUUCUUAAUGUUAAUUACAUCAAAUACCUAAUUAAAUUAAAUUCUGUUAGAAUGAGACCGAGAAGUUACAAACUAUUUUUCCAAAAAUAGAAGAAAAAAAAGUGAUGCAUCCCAAUGGCAGAAUUUUGAGAUUAUCUCAUUGAAUUCUCCAUUAACAAGUAACUCUUCAUCUGUCAUUUUGAACAAUUGCUUCCUGGAUUUACUUCCUCUAGAAAAGUCAGAGCAAAUAAAGACCCAUGUUACACCAAGAGACUUCAUUAUCCUGGUGGUUUCAGAAGUGAGAGAAUCUUUCUUCCAUUUGCCUUUUUAUUUAUAGGAGUUAAUCCAUUGGAAAAAACUUUGGGUUUUUCCCCCCAAAAUUUGCCUUUCCUGUGACUCCCCCAGUUUAUUACAGAAUGACCCAAUACAAAACUCUUACAGACAUACUAAGGGACAGAUUUUAAAACCUAGCCUCCCAUUUGCAAGGAUAGUUUGCGAGUUCAAAUAAUGUCACCUAACAUCCUAAUCUGCAACUGGAUCACCCGAGUGCACCCUGCAGACCUUCUCCUGAAUUCACACACUGCGGAAUCCAAGAUGAUAGACACAGGUGCAGGGGUGUGUAUGGUUAGAUCCAGUUCCAGAAUCUAGCUCUUUGAAAUCCAGCUAACUGAUUGUACAUAUCAGUUAGACAUCUUGGUGAGAUUAAUUGUGCCUGUAGACCAUUGCAAAACUGAUAGGUGCAAAAUCAUGGUUGCAAAUUGAGAUACUGGUUGAAGCAGAUUUACGAUUUAAGCUUCUUUACAGACCAUCUCUACUUUUGUUUUAGUCCAUGUGAUGCACAGACUGAAAUUAAGGGAGAGUGGUAAAUGGGGAGAUUCUAAACUACAUGACAGUUUAUAAGGUUAUAAGUGAACAUACAUUUUCAUUUUCAAGAUAAUUCCGUGCAUCAUAACACAUAACUAUGGUCUCAGAAAGGUUUAAAACUUGUGUCCCUUGCCUAAGGUUUCAAUGUCUCCAAAAUGUGUAUUGUUUGGGUUUGCUUUUAUUUUGUUUCUUUUAUAUGUGAAUAUCACACUUGUUGUUAUUACACAUUCUUUGAGCUGUUAGGACUGUGCAUUUCACCAGAAAAAAUGAUGCUGAUGGUGUAGGCUCUGCUAAUGUUAUUUCCAAAAAGGUCUCUUAAAAAUCUAUCAUUGUACAUUCUUAUGCUUUAAGAUAUGCACUUGCUAUUGUCUGUUCUCACAUAUUAAGAUGUUACAGUAUAAUGUAUAACUGUCUGUCUGUAGCAUUUAGGAGGAGGCAUGCAAUGCCCCUCUACUGUACGUGUGCAUCACCACUUGCUUUUAUAACAGGAAACUGAGGUGAAGUUGUAUUGUUGAGACAUCAGUCAGUUGAUUUUAAUUUAUACUUUGUUUUAUGUUUUAAAGUGCCUAAUGAUUUUAUGUCAAAAACACAUUGGUUUCACAGUUAUGAUGCAUUCUUAGGACACUGUACCAGUUCCAUAUUGUUCUGUAAUGGAAUAUUUUUGCAAUUUCUGUUUGGAAAUAAAGACUUAUUAGACA
Molecule: non-coding RNA, 3043 nt
Organism: Caretta caretta (loggerhead turtle)
Lineage: Eukaryota; Metazoa; Chordata; Testudines; Cheloniidae
Source: RefSeq, a predicted model, not a curated record